GAUACAGGGUGGAACUUCCUUCCAUCCAGAGGAUCUCCCAGCUCAGGCUCAUCCUGGAGCCAGCUCUGCAGAGGGAACAUGGGGGGAGGCGACUCACACCAUGACCUGUGUGGAGGUGGCCAUGGUCGGGUGAACCAAUGAACCAAGACUCCUGAGUGUGUUAAGUCCAAAGAGCAGGACUCCGUGAAGGAAAGAGGGAAGAGCUGCAGCGGGGAGGCUGAACAGGGCGGCUGUCUGCCCACACCCCUGCUAUCAGCCUGUGAGCUCAGGGACUGACUCUGCUUCUGAGUACAUAAAACCUCCAGUCCCAAGUGGCUACCUGGUCCACAGGCACACCCACCUUCCCCCUCAGUGGGAUUUUCUGUGGGGCCUGCAGCAGGGACAGUCUCAGGUGUGGGGAGAGCCACUGCCUUGAAAUCCAGCUAGCAUCUUGACCCAGCCCGAUUUUAACAACGGCUUGAAGAAACAAACUUACCAUGAAAAUGCAGGGCAGUCCAGCCUUGUGCAGACAAAGGAGAAAUGAGCCUCACUCGGGCAAACAGUGCUGGCGACCUCCUCUCCCUCCCUCCACCAAGGAAAACAAAAGAAGGGCAAGGCCCAGAGUGGACAGAGGCUUCUUCCCUGGGUCAGAGAAACACGAGGUCUCGGGGCCCAAAUCCCAGCGCUGCCUGGAGGAAAGGACCCAGCACCUCCCAGCAAAGGCCUCUGUCCACAGCUCCCUUAGUCUGGGGCAGGGAAAUCUGUCUGCACCUUGCCUUGGCUUCUUUCCCUGGGCCCUGGGGGACAACUGCCUAUCCGCUUUCCCCCUCAGGAACAGGGACACAUUAGCAAGGUGACCAGUGUGUCCCAGUUGGCCCAGAUUGUGCUGGUUUUAAAACGGAGAGUCCUGGAAACCCCUUCACCUGGGCAAACCAGGACGGUGGAGCACGGGGCAGGACGAGCAGCAGGACGAGCAGCAGGUCAGCCCUGGGGCCCACAGCUGCCGGAGGCUUCCUGGUCACUGUCUGUUCCCAAGCGCCUGAACUUAACCCUAACCCUACCCCUAACCCAAAUUCCACUCACCACUGGCAAAACUGUCCUCUGUCCUGGACUACCUCCGCCCUGGCCAGGGUGCUCAAGGCCCUGUUGGUGGUCGAGGGGUUCCUAUGGAUCCCGGACCCUGGCCUGGGCCUAAUCGGAGCCCGCCUGGGCCUCUGACCACCAUCUCUCUCUGCUCUGCUGUCAAGGAC
RNAcentral lists this long non-coding RNA (1229 nucleotides) under Homo sapiens (human). Its description in RNAcentral is "HSALNT0402500". The record is from RNAcentral. Lineage: Eukaryota; Metazoa; Chordata; Mammalia; Primates; Hominidae.